Labrus bergylta (ballan wrasse) is the source of this 790-nucleotide long non-coding RNA. RefSeq lists it as uncharacterized. Lineage: Eukaryota; Metazoa; Chordata; Actinopteri; Labriformes; Labridae. The record is from RefSeq and is a predicted model, not a curated record.
AGAAGUAAACAGCCAUUCAACCAAAUCUGCCCUCUUGUUAUUCAUAUUCUGGAAUAAGGCCUGAAGUGGUGUUCUGGCCGACACACCUGAGUGAAUCCAGUGGAAAGCAACAGACUAGUGUCCCAACUGAGUUUAGUUUUAUUAUCUUCAUUACAGCCAGGACUUUGACAGAAUCACUGUUCUUUAAACCAUGGUAAGAAAUAGGCAAAAGUACACAUUGUAUAGUGUAUAUCUGCUCUUCAUUCGAAUUUCAACCUAAAUUUGGACAACAAUAGAGGACUCUUUCCUGCGGCGGAGGAAGUCCGUGCGCCUGAUAACAUAGCUUGAACGGAGGCGGAGUAAUUCAACGGUCCUGUGAAGCAGCCGUAGGGAGAGAGAACGUCUUCGGUGAACCGACAGCAUUCGGACUUGGAUCUAAAUUCAGAGUUCAGGAGGAUUGUCACCACAGACCUGAUGGAGUCUUUCUUUGGUGGACUAGAUGCCUUGUUACCAAACCUUAUAGAGUUGUACCAGUCAGGUGUCACAUCCAACAAGAGGUUAAUCCUGAGAAGAAUUCUGCAGUGUCUUGGGAAAGAGGAUUCAAACCAAAACAGACAUACAGAUGCCCUACUUGGCCUUCCAUGCUUCUUUGCAGAGGAUUUCUCAAACAUGAUCCGGGUUAUGUGUGAUGUAAGUUGUUUUAAGUAUCAAUGUAAAAACGAUUUCAUGGUCAUAACAUAACAUUUUUAAAACUUUAUUUGAAGGGAUACUUCACCGGUUGAAACAUGAAUCUGUAUUGACAUUGGGUCAU